UUAUAGAGAACAAAGGUUCAAUUCACUCAUAUUUCCACAGGCUGUACAGAAGGCAUGGCUGGGAAGGCCUCAGGAAACUUACAAGCAAGGUAAAGGGGAAGCAGGCACAAGCUUCAGAUGGCAAAGCAGGAGAGACAGAGAGAUGACCUGUGUAACCAGUAGGAUACGGUGGAAGUGAUGGUGUGUGACUCCUAAGUCUAGGUCAUAAAAGACAUCACAGCUUUCUCCUACUCUUGGAUUGUUCACUCUGUGGGAAGCCAGCUGCCAUAUUGUGAGGCCACUCAGGAAGCUCUGCAGGGAGGUCCACAUGGAGAUGAACCCGAGAGACAUAUUUCAUGGUAUGCAGAUUUGAAUAAGAAACAAAGUGGAAGAAAAAAGUGAAGGAAAGAGAAGAGGAGAAGAAAUCUGGAAGGAAUGAGAAACAAAAUAGGAAGGAAGAAAAGGAACAUCUUCAUUGAGGUCCAGUCCCUUUAUGGAAUCUCAUUAACUAACCACAUGGGCUGUUCUGCUUUAUCCAACAACAUCAGCAAUGGAGGCAGUUUCCUGCUACAGAGAGAAGCAUCAGGCUCUGGAGGAAAAGAGUCUAGAGUGAUACACAGUAAACUCUCUAUGAGGUCCUGUGGCUGCCCCCUGGGAAAGCAUGUGGAGGAGGCUCUUACUCAGGUGAUAAAUGAAGGUUCGGCAGAUCUCUUGGGAAGAGAACACAGGACACAGCAACGGUUAAAAAUUGGACUACUUUAUUUUUAG
RNAcentral lists this long non-coding RNA (747 nucleotides) under Callithrix jacchus (white-tufted-ear marmoset). RNAcentral describes it as "lncRNA (ENSCJAG00000064830.2)". The record is from RNAcentral. Lineage: Eukaryota; Metazoa; Chordata; Mammalia; Primates; Cebidae.